UCCGAGUUGACCCCGGCAGUCUCCUAUGAGUCCCCACCAUCACGUGCUGGCAACAUAGAACGAGGGUUGCGCUCGUUGCGGGACUUAACCCAACACCUCACGGCACGAGCUGACGACAGCCAUGCAGCACCUUGUUUUGUGUCUCUUGCGAGAAAGCUACCUUUCGGCAGCGGUCACUCACAUUCAAGCCCAGGUAAGGUUCCUCGCGUAUCAUCGAAUUGAACCACAUGCUCCUCCGCUUGUGCGGGCCCCGUCAAUUCCUUUGAGUUUCAUUCUUGCGAACGUACUUCCCAGGUGGCAUACUUAACGCUUUCGCUUAGGUCCUAACAGUUUAUCGCUAAGACCGAGUAUGCAACGUUUAGGGCGUGGACUAC
RNAcentral lists this unclassified non-coding RNA (374 nucleotides) under uncultured Sphingobacteriales bacterium. RNAcentral's name for it is "contains 16S-23S intergenic spacer region". Lineage: Bacteria; Pseudomonadati; Bacteroidota; Sphingobacteriia; Sphingobacteriales. The record is from RNAcentral.